GGAAGAGUGAGUUUUAUUUUGUCAUUCACAUUAGCAUUCACUUCUAAUGAUUUCGGACACCUGUAAAAUGAUAUCGAAAUCAGUGGUGCAUUGGAUGGCAUUGUUCGACGUUGCCAGGACGAGAGAGGUGCGCGAGUUGGCGCGCAUUGAUUUCACCCUUCACUCUCCGCCCUGCUGCCGAACACCAUUUAGGCCAAGAUCGGGUAUAAUGGGAAACACCAUCAGCAGACAAUUACCCUUUCAGAGGAUUCACUUCUCCUCACAGACACUGUUAUUUGAGAAAUAGGAUCAUUUGAUUUCAUAUUGCACUAAAUAACACCCAGCCGGUUCAAAUUGCCAGCUUCUUAAAAACCGCCCAUUGGAAUAAAUUGCAGCGGCCUCUUUUGCUUUUCAGGGCAAUACGAUGGGCACCGGGAAGAACUUGUAAAAAUAACUACAAAGUCACUACAGAGUCCUUGCUAUUGAUGAGAAUAGCUCUGCCACCCCUCAGGCAAAGGCAUCCAGCUACCCUGCCACCGCCCCCUCCACCCGUCAACUUUGGAUGGUUCAACCACUUGGCUUUGGCAUUAAAACGUACAAUUCCAGCCACCCGGAGGAAGCGCUUCGAGCCACAAGUCGCAGAGCAAAGAAAGAUGAGCAAGAGACACAAAUUUCUCUCUUUUUUUUUUUCUUUUUUAAAUUGCCUGCAGGAUUCGCAUAUUCGGAGACCGCUGCGGAUGUGGGGAGCUGCGGCCCCGGCGUGCGCCGAGUUCAAGGGUCUCCGGUUCUUAGCGCAGAGUGUCCGGCGGCCACAGAACCGAGCGGGUCCAGUCGACGCGCCCUGCUUACUGGUGCGCCCUCAAAGUCUGCCAAGGCGUGGCGCCCAUUUUUGCUCUCACAACUGGCGCCAAGCCGAGAGCCGGGGCUCCAAGGGUCGGACCAAGGGGGCAGAAGGAGGAGGGAGCAGCAUUCCGGUAUUAGCGCCAAGUCGAGAAAGAAAGAAAAGAAGGCGAGCAGCGAGCUGCAGUUUGCUGCACACCCGCCACCAGAGACAUUUCAGACAGAAUUAAGCCUUUUGAAGUCGACCACUUACUGUGGUUUAAUUGACACUGUUCAACUGAGUGACAAUUGUUCAGUUGGAUGGGGGCGAUACACUCCCCGCUUAUUUUUUAAUUCGCAAAAUAAGAUUUGA
This 1171-nucleotide long non-coding RNA is filed under the name Marmota monax (woodchuck). The record is from RNAcentral. Lineage: Eukaryota; Metazoa; Chordata; Mammalia; Rodentia; Sciuridae.